Molecule: ribosomal RNA, 429 nt
Filed under: soil bacterium 6V-12
Lineage: Bacteria
Description: bacterial SSU rRNA
Rfam family: Bacterial small subunit ribosomal RNA
Source: RNAcentral
UCAGGAUGAACGCUGGCGGCGUGCUUAACACAUGCAAGUCGAACGGUGAAGCCAAGCUUGCUUGGUGGAUCAGUGGCGAACGGGUGAGUAACACGUGAGCAACCUGCCCUGGACUCUGGGAUAAGCGCUGGAAACGGCGUCUAAUACUGGAUAUGAACUCUCAUCGCAUGGUGGGGGUUGGAAAGAUUUUUCGGUCUGGGAUGGGCUCGCGGCCUAUCAGCUUGUUGGUGAGGUAAUGGCUCACCAAGGCGUCGACGGGUAGCCGGCCUGAGAGGGUGACCGGCCACACUGGGACUGAGACACGGCCCAGACUCCUACGGGAGGCAGCAGUGGGGAAUAUUGCACAAUGGGCGGAAGCCUGAUGCAGCAACGCCGCGUGAGGGAUGACGGCCUUCGGGUUGUAAACCUCUUUUAGCAAGGAAGAAGNGU